This 118-nucleotide microRNA precursor is filed under the name Paramuricea clavata. Lineage: Eukaryota; Metazoa; Cnidaria; Anthozoa; Malacalcyonacea; Plexauridae. The record is from RNAcentral.
UAGGAUAAAUAUUAAUGCCCAGCAUAAAACACGUAAAAGAGCCAUAACAAAAAUAUAAUUUAAAAUAUUUUAUAUGGCUCUUUUACGUGUUUUAUGCUGGGCAUUAAUAUUUAUCCUA